Long non-coding RNA from Arachis duranensis, 524 nucleotides. RefSeq lists it as uncharacterized. The record is from RefSeq and is a predicted model, not a curated record. Lineage: Eukaryota; Viridiplantae; Streptophyta; Magnoliopsida; Fabales; Fabaceae. The transcript is spliced from 3 exons.
AAAAAUAAAAACCUCACCCAAUCCUCAAGACAACCGUUUCUCCUUCCUCCUUUCUCAAUCCCAGUGUUCCCCGUCAGUUCACCCCAUUUCGCCGGCGUCACUCUCUUGCUUGGCGUCGAGUUCGCCGUUGACGACGAAGCUUUGCCACCGUUUCUCCAGUGUUUCGCAUACGGGGAUACUCAAUAAGAGCAAAUUGGUUGCAAUUGAUAUUGGAAACAGGGGCUACCCUACGAAUAAGAUCUGCUACAUAUACUAUCAUCUACUCCGAGACAUCCAAACCUCACUGAGCACACCAGUGAGAAAGCCAAGGAAGCUAAAGAUAUACAAGUGAGAAAGCUAGUGGAUACAGAACAGAAACUCUUGGAAGCAAAAGGAAAUGCAGAUCAAGUUAUAGUGUUGUGUUUUAAAUUGUAGUAGGAGCAUUUGUUUGUAUUUGUGAAUGUUAUAAAAGCAAGUAUAUGAAUGAAUUAGAUUGGCUGGUUUGUUGACAUUGAAUUCUUGAAAUUAGAUUGUCUGUUUUGGAA